RNAcentral lists this small nuclear RNA (476 nucleotides) under Staphylococcus aureus subsp. aureus NCTC 8325. Its description in RNAcentral is "SAOUHSCs270". The stretch from base 244 to 468 matches the Rfam family "Staphylococcus sRNA 35 (srn_0335)". Lineage: Bacteria; Bacillati; Bacillota; Bacilli; Caryophanales; Staphylococcaceae. The record is from RNAcentral.
AAUUGCUAAAGAAAAAGUAUUUCUUUAUCGAUGUCCUACCCCAACUUGCAUUGUCUGUAGAAAUUGGGGUUCCAAUUUCUCUAUGUUGGGGCCCCGCCAACUUGCACAUUUUUGUAAGCUGACUUUUCGCCAGCUUCUAUGUUGGGGCCCCCGCCAACUUGCAUUGUUUGUUGGAAUUGGUGAUCCUAUUUCUCUCUGUUGUGGCCCCGCCAACUUGCACAUUUUUGUAUGCUGACUUUUCGCCAGCUUCUGUGUUGGGCCCCACCCCAACUUGCAUUGUCUGUUGAAAUUGGUGAUCCAAUUUCUCUAUGUUGGGGCCCCGCCAACUUGCAUUGUCUGUUGGAAUUGGUGAUCCUAUUUCUCUCUGUUGUGGCCCCACGAGUAUUGAAAAAACUUGUUAUAAGCUUAUUUUCAUUUAGUCAACUACUACCAAUAUAGCACUAGAACUGGAAAUGAUAAUUUAAUAUUGUACACUU